Molecule: long non-coding RNA, 1363 nt
Organism: Anopheles arabiensis
Lineage: Eukaryota; Metazoa; Arthropoda; Insecta; Diptera; Culicidae
Exons: 3
Source: RefSeq, a predicted model, not a curated record
AUGUGUGUGAGUGCAUGAGGGUGAAGAAGAACGUGUACGCAAGAACACGGCAUUGGGGCGAAGAAUGGCGUCUGCAGUAAAUGGCGUUACCUUGCUGUUGUGUUGUUGUUAUCCGUUUGCGCCAAAAGGGACACGUAAUAGAGACGAAGGGGUGUGUGUGUGUGUGUGUAUGCGCUUGCAAUGGAGAAAGGGGUUGCAUGGGAAUGGGGGGAAAAGGGAGGACGGCAACUACACGAAGGGACGGUCGCUCGGCCAGACGGACGAUGGAUUCUCUUUGUUUUCGAGUCCGCGCGCAUACUGUACCAACCCCUUCCGCUUCCCCGCUGGUGUGCCAUACCGGAACGAAGGUUUCGCUUUCUUUAUCGUAGCCGUCGUCGUCGUCGUCGUCGUUGUCGUCGCCGUCGCCGCCGUUGUGGUAGUCCGACGGGUAAGACGCCAAGAACACGUCGAGUUUGGAGUUUUCUUUUCUGCUUCGAUCCCUGCCCUGACACGGACAACAAAGAACUGCAUCGAGGUAAUCUUGAACGGGCAGAAGGGGUGCGAGGGUGUGUGCGUAUGUGUGGAAGGGUGAGGACGGAAAGAGGAAGGGUGAAGCGACCACCAUCCAACCAACGUACAAACAAAAGGAAACCAAGAAACCCGCCAGACAGCCCAGCGAUAAAAUAAAAAAAAGCGAUAAACAUAACUUUAUUAUUAAAACAAAAUCGGCCGUCCAUUUAUUUACCAUUGCUUAACCGAACGGGGCAAGAAUUGCUAAGUAGGCCUGAUGCCGGGCAAAAUUGCAACAAUCUUACAACCAUCGCAGUACGCCAUGGAUAGUGAGUAAACACACAAAUAAACCACCAGCGUGUUCCAAAACGAACAAAAAUAAAUGCAAAACACACAGAACGAAGCAGGAACGAGAGGGCAAAGCAAGACCAAGAACCAACCAAGAAGCACCCAGACGCGGUAAGGAGUACCAUCAAUCUCGAGCACACACACAGCUCGCUGCGCCCUUUUGCGGGAUAAAUUUAGCCACACAGAGGACUCGGGCUGAAACACUCCAAACUUUCUCCAGUCACGUUGCCAGCCUGUGGCCAUCCUCCGUACCACGUAAUCGCGGCGUACUGUGUUCGCGCGCUGAGAAAGCUCUUUGCUCUCGGAGUGCUGAAAAUAGCACCUUUCCUUCGCCAAGCUGGCCAAGCUGGAAUGGCAAAACGGCAGAACAGAAAAAUUGUCGCCCGUGUCGCGAGGAAACCAAAACCGUACCGUACCGAAUUGGCAUAAGCGUGGCCGUACACGAGACAUGUGCUAGGGCCACGUGUCCGCCGCAUAAUACUUUGCAAACUUUGCUACAUCACAUUCUCAGCGCUGGGGAGAGACA